ACCAGACUCCUACGGGAGGCAGCAGUGGGGAAUAUUGGACAAUGGGGGGAACCCUGAUCCAGCGACGCCGCGUGAGUGAAGAAGUAUUUCGGUAUGUAAAGCUCUAUCAGCAGGGAAGAAAGAAAUGACGGUACCUGACUAAGAAGCCCCAGCUAACUACGUGCCAGCAGCCGCGGUAAUACGUAGGGGGCAAGCGUUAUCCGGAUUUACUGGGUGUAAAGGGAGCGUAGACGGCUAUGCAAGUCUGGAGGGGAAGGCGGGGGCCCAACCCCCGGACUGCUCUGGAAACUGUAGAGCUAGAGUGCAGGAGAGGUAAGUGGAAUUCCUAGUGUAGCGGUGAAAUGCGUAGAUAUUAGGAGGAACACCAGUGGCGAAGGCGGCUUACUGGACUGUAACUGACGUUGAGGCUCGAAAGCGUGGGGAGCAAACAGGAUUAGAUACCCCAGUAC
RNAcentral lists this ribosomal RNA (449 nucleotides) under uncultured bacterium. Its description in RNAcentral is "bacterial SSU rRNA". It matches the Rfam family "Bacterial small subunit ribosomal RNA", at positions 330 to 793 of the family's 1533-position model. The record is from RNAcentral.